Molecule: long non-coding RNA, 325 nt
Organism: Teleopsis dalmanni
Lineage: Eukaryota; Metazoa; Arthropoda; Insecta; Diptera; Diopsidae
Exons: 3
Source: RefSeq, a predicted model, not a curated record
UUCUUUAAUUUGAUACUGUUUGUUACAUCCUGAUCAACAUCACUGAGUUUCAAUUGUUAUAGUACUCUGGAUAUAUUAUAUAUAGAAUGCAUAUAAACAAACAUUAAUAAAAACUCACAUUAGUCAAAAAUGCUUUGAAUAGAAAAUCCAAAAAGUUACUAUUUGGUUAUUAGCACAACACUAAGAGACAUCACAGACAUCUGCAAAAUGGGUGGCGCUGUGGCAACAUACACAAGUUAUACCAAUAAAUGGAUUAUUACUCUCGCAGCGGCAUUUGGAUUACUAUUUUUCGUAUGGAUUCCUCAAGUCUCAGCCGAAUGUCAAA